UAAAACCAGCACCUCAAGUGGUCAGGAUGAUUAUUGGGCCUAAAGCAUCCGUAGCCUGCUCUGUAAGUUUUCGGUUAAAUCUGUACGCUCAACGUACAGGCUGCCGGAAAUACUGCAGAGCUAGGGAGUGGGAGAGGUAGACGGUACUCGGGAGGAAGUGGUAAAAUGCUUUGAUCUCUCGAUGACCACCUGUGGCGAAGGCGGUCUACCAGAACACGUCCGACGGUGAGGGAUGAAAGCUGGGGGAGCAAACCGGAUUAGAUACCCGGGUAGUCCCAGCUGUAAACGAUGCAGACUCGAUGAUGCAUUGGCAUAUAGCCAGUGCAGUGUCGCAGGGAAGCCGUUAAGUCUGCCGCCUGGGAAGUACGUACGCAAGUAUG
This 380-nucleotide ribosomal RNA is filed under the name uncultured Nitrososphaerota archaeon. RNAcentral's name for it is "bacterial SSU rRNA". It matches the Rfam family "Archaeal small subunit ribosomal RNA", at positions 471 to 851 of the family's 1478-position model. Lineage: Archaea; Thermoproteati; Nitrososphaerota. The record is from RNAcentral.